GAUCAGAGAAUUGAGGCCAAUUAGUAUUGCAAAUUGAAAGAUUGGAAGUCUCAACAACCAGAGGCAUCAAUGCAUUAGCUGACAUAGCACAAGGGGCAACAUAGAGAACUAUCCACUGCUUAGUAUGAAAGCUCAAAUAGCAACAACAUGGAGAAAUAUAGAGGGAAAACAGGUGAGGUAAAGACAGAAACUAGAAGCAUUUUUUUGUUCCAAAAAUAAUAUCUAAACUCCCCUUUUUUAAAGUUCCCUGCAAUCAUAUUAUAAGUGAUAAAAGGUAUAUUAAAAACGCAUUAUCAUAUUCCGAUAUUAACAAUCCGAGCCAAGGACAACAAGAGAAAGGCCUUCAGGUAUCAUGUGAGAAACAGGUACUAUGAUAACAAGCAUUAAACCAAAGCAACUUUUUUCUCAUGCGGCAAGAAUUAUAAGUAAAUACUCAUAAAAGUGUACAAAAUUUCUCAAAAAAAAAAUAAAAUAAAAGUUUAUAAAAGAUAAAUGUCAUGAAACAAAAAAACACCACUAAAAUAUUAACGAAAAAAAAAC
This 540-nucleotide long non-coding RNA is filed under the name Elaeis guineensis (African oil palm). RNAcentral's name for it is "long non-coding RNA (EGUI_LNC026850)". Lineage: Eukaryota; Viridiplantae; Streptophyta; Magnoliopsida; Arecales; Arecaceae. The record is from RNAcentral.